CAUCUCUGCUAUACGCAAAAUAGAAAAGAAUAAAGAACUUGAUACAACUGAAUGUUUUUAUGCAACAGGCCUAUUUUGAUGGCCCCUAAAUUCGCAUCGAUGACGGGCCCUCUUCCAAUUUUGAUGCUACGCUUGUAGCGGCCACCAUGCUCACAUCCCAAUUACAUGAAAGUAAUACUGCACCUUCGGCAAAUGGAAUGCCGGGCCAGGCUGAUACUGCGGAAGCUUCUGGAGAACAGCCAGAGAGGAAUAGAACAAGCGCUUCCGAGAUUCCAUCAAAUCUAAACUCUCAGGAAGUGCUGCAAGAAGUGUGAGUGGUUCUGACGGAAGGCAAGUUCCGGAAGAAAGGAUCCUAAGGGCUGGUGGUCAAUCGGGAAUUGAAAGGAUCGGCACUAUUCAAAAAUCAAAAGCUGCAUCAGCUGAAGGAAACACCCAAACUGGUCCAAAUUCUUCAUCUCUCAAUCUUGCUCUCAGUUUGUAUGUAUGAUGAACAUCAUCUUUAUCUCUAGGUCGAAUUAUCUUGCUCUCUUACAAAUAUUUUUUUAGUAGAGUUGCUACUUUCUCAAUUGCCUAUUUCCCUACUGUAAAUGCUGCUUUGCAAGAAAGCAUUUGGCUUAGGCCAGUUGAUUGCGCGACUUUAUCUUGGGAUCUUGCCAAAUUUUACUCUUUAUUCAAGCAUCAAGAAGGAAAAAGUUUUGGCAGAAAUCCAUGUAUGUCCUACCAAACCUGUAAGCAUUUCUGUUUUUCCACGAUUUAGUGCGACUGUCCACCUGAUACCAUAGACAAGGUGGAGCAAAACUAUUUUCCGCUUCUUACUCGACUGUGAACCCUGAGGAUGCAUUGCACAUACCUGUGCAAGUACCUAUUUCUGGAAGACUGAGUUCAUAUGCCUUUCUUGGGCUUCUCAGUAUCGAUUCAAUUAGUCUGCUUGGAUCACGUCAUUUGUCAGUGGUUCUAAAUGUUUUUGGAGGCAAAGGUACUGAACAAGGUUGUCACUUACAUAACACUAAUUAGCGCAUCAUAAGUAAGUUCAUGCAGUUUGUUAGUAGUUGAAGCGAUUCUCUUCAUUCUUUUCUUGUGUAGAUGGAAAUGGUUUUUCACAACGUCAUCCAAGUAAUCGGGUUGAUGCCAAUGAGGAUGAGGAUGAUGAUAACAAGGACGGCGAUGAACUCUGUGUUCGAUCAACACCACCAUACCAUGAGGAUCAAUAACGUUUUGUUUCCUGUUUGACUAUGAUAACCUUUCUCUCUUAGUUUUACUGUUAAGUGCUUGUGCCUUCCAAUGCUUGAUGCAUCCUGUCCUGUGUUCCCUUCAAAGAGUUGGAGCAGUGUCUUGCUUGCUUUAAGCGUCCUUUGUCAUUUUUUUCUUUUCUCGUUUUUUCUCCUACUUGACUAUACAUUAGUGCCUGUGCCAAUUUAACUAGUCCACCAUGCAACAAAGCUGCCAUUUAAAUGCACUUCUUUUUCCCUCUCUUUUCUGUUUCAGUAUUAAGUUGAUACACUUUGCCGAGUGAGGUAUCGAUACAGGUAUGGUUCUACACUUUAUUCUACAACAAUUUGUUCCUGGCUUCCUGCCAAUAAAAACAGAGCAGGGUCGAUAGUUCUUACAAGAGUCACAUGCUUAGUGGACAGGAUAUAGCAAUUUAGAACCAUCGGAAAUUGUGUUUAGACCUUCUAAAACCUGUCCAAUAAUUCCUUUCUAGCUUUGCAACUUCAAAUGUGGCGGUGGUGGAUUGGGGGGGUUGGGGCGCUCGAUACCAUCUCUAAAACAGCUAUUCAUGGGGAGAUUUAUGACUUGUUUGAUUAAAGUUUCUGCUGCCUUCUAUACUGAGUUUCUGUGAUCUGUCCUCGUAGUCCAUCCGUUUAUGAAAAUACGACGUCAGCUUUUCUCCCACUUUCUUUCCCUACUGUAUGUAUCAGCACAUUCAAAACGUGAAGGAGACUGUGGAAGUUUUUUUGACCAAAUAGAUCCCUUGCCAUAGAAAGCUUCUGUUUUGUCUGUUAAAAAACAUUUUGAGUCAAUUUGUGUAUAUUAAAGAGGAAGCGGUCAAAAGGUUUUUGAGAUAUUCGUGUUCCUUUCUUAAAAUCACAUUCUAGAAUGAUUACGUCAUUUUUAAACUCCUACGAAUUCAGUUUAACUUUUCCUCGUGAGUUGCUUCCAUUUUACAUACCCAAGGAUGCCGAAUUUCCAGUGUUCUGAUUUGUGACAACAUCUUCUGCUGAGGUCAUUUGUGACGGUGUCAAGGAGUUUGUUCUGCGGAGUAAAUCCCUCCUUUUUGUCAGUAAUGGAACCAACCAGAGUCAGAGUGAUUCGUGGAAUUCAAAGUUUACUUGCCCCGAGAGGUUGCCUAAAGCACGAAUUGAUGGUGGUCUGGAUCGUCUAGAAGCUCUCUCGUGGUACGUGACUUUUGAGUUGUGGGCGUAUCAUCCUACACCUUGCUGUUGCAUAUUCCCAUGUUUCUCAUCCAAAGAAGGUUCAAUUGCAUCGGUUUUCCGAAACCUAUUGUAAGGAUGGAUGAUUUAAAUUAUAAGGAAUCUCAAUGUAAGAUGGUUGCUUAAUCAGGUGCUUGUGCUUUUUC
Long non-coding RNA from Eucalyptus grandis, 2578 nucleotides. RefSeq lists it as uncharacterized. The transcript is spliced from 2 exons. Lineage: Eukaryota; Viridiplantae; Streptophyta; Magnoliopsida; Myrtales; Myrtaceae. The record is from RefSeq and is a predicted model, not a curated record.